UACGGAGGAGGCAAGCGUUAUCCGGAAUUAUUGGGCGUAAAGCGUCCGCAGGUGGCACCUCAAGUCUGCUGUCAAAGACCGGGGCUUAACCCCAGAAAGGCAGUGGAAACUGAAGUGCUAGAGUGCAGUAGGGGUAGAGGGAAUUCCCGGUGUAGCGGUGAAAUGCGUAGAGAUCAGGAAGAACACCGGUGGCGAAAGCGCUCUGCUGGACCUUAACUGACACUGAGGGACGAAAGCUAGGGGAGCGAAUGGG
RNAcentral lists this ribosomal RNA (253 nucleotides) under uncultured bacterium. Its description in RNAcentral is "partial 16S ribosomal RNA". It matches the Rfam family "Bacterial small subunit ribosomal RNA", at positions 524 to 776 of the family's 1533-position model. The record is from RNAcentral.